GUGCAGCAGUCGCGAAUUUUUCUCAAUGGGGGAAACCCUGAAGGAGCGACGCCGCGUGGAGGAUGAAGGUCUUCGGGUUGUAAACUCCUGUCAUUUGAGUACAAGGUGCACAUGUUAGCUGCAUGUGCAUUGAUAGUAUCAGAAGAGGAAGGGACGGCUAACUCUGUGCCAGCAGCCGCGGUAAUACAGAGGUCCCAAGCGUUGUUCGGAUUCAUUGGGCGUAAAGGGUGUGUAGGUGGCGCCGUAAGUCGGGUGUGAAAUCUCGGGGCUUAACUCCGAAACUGCAUUCGAUACUGCGGUGCUUGAGGACUGGAGAGGAGACUGGAAUUCAUGGUGUAGCAGUGAAAUGCGUAGAGAUCAUGAGGAAGACCAGUGGCGAAGGCGGGUCUCUGGACAGUUCCUGACACUGAGACACGAAGGCCAGGGGAGCAAACGGGAUUAGAUACCCCCGUAGU
Molecule: ribosomal RNA, 455 nt
Filed under: uncultured organism
Description: bacterial SSU rRNA
Rfam family: Bacterial small subunit ribosomal RNA
Source: RNAcentral